GCCCCGGUAAACGGCGGCCGUAACUAUAACGGUCCUAAGGUAGCGAAAUUCCUUGUCGGGUAAGUUCCGACCUGCACGAAUGGCGUAAUGAUGGCCAGGCUGUCUCCACCCGAGACUCAGUGAAAUUGAACUCGCUGUGAAGAUGCAGUGUACCCGCGGCAAGACGGAAAGACCCCGUGAACCUUUACUAUAGCUUGACACUGAACAUUGAGCCUUGAUGUGUAGGAUAGGUGGGAGGCUUUGAAGUGUGGACGCCAGUCUGCAUGGAGCCGACCUUGAAAUACCACCCUUUAAUGUUUGAUGUUCUAACGUUGGCCCGUAAUCCGGGUUGCGGACAGUGUCUGGUGGGUAGUUUGACUGGGGCGGUCUCCUCCUAAAGAGUAACGGAGGAGCACGAAGGUUGGCUAAUCCUGGUCGGACAUCAGGAGGUUAGUGCAAUGGCAUAAGCCAGCUUGACUGCGAGCGUGACGGCGCGAGCAGGUGCGAAAGCAGGUCAUAGUGAUCCGGUGGUUCUGAAUGGAAGGGCCAUCGCUCAACGGAUAAAAGGUACUCCGGGGAUAACAGGCUGAUACCGCCCAAGAGUUCAUAUCGACGGCGGUGUUUGGCACCUCGAUGUCGGCUCAUCACAUCCUGGGGCUGAAGUAGGUCCCAAGGGUAUGGCUGUUCGCCAUUUAAAGUGGUACGCGAGCUGGGUUUAGAACGUCGUGAGACAGUUCGGUCCCUAUCUGCCGUGGGCGCUGGAGAACUGAGGGGGGCUGCUCCUAGUACGAGAGGACCGGAGUGGACGCAUCACUGGUGUUCGGGUUGUCAUGCCAAUGGCACUGCCCGGUAGCUAAAUGCGGAAGAGAUAAGUGCUGAAAGCAUCUAAGCACGAAACUUGCCCCGAGAUGAGUUCUCCCUGACUCCUUGAGGGUCCUGAAGGAACGUUGAAGACGACGACGUUGAUAGGCCGGGUGUGUAAGCGCAGCGAUGCGUUGAGCUA
Molecule: ribosomal RNA, 982 nt
Filed under: Escherichia coli
Lineage: Bacteria; Pseudomonadati; Pseudomonadota; Gammaproteobacteria; Enterobacterales; Enterobacteriaceae
Description: partial 23S ribosomal RNA
Rfam family: Bacterial large subunit ribosomal RNA
Source: RNAcentral